Long non-coding RNA from Dioscorea cayenensis subsp. rotundata (Guinea yam), 168 nucleotides. RefSeq lists it as uncharacterized. The record is from RefSeq and is a predicted model, not a curated record. Lineage: Eukaryota; Viridiplantae; Streptophyta; Magnoliopsida; Dioscoreales; Dioscoreaceae. The transcript is spliced from 3 exons.
GCAUCCUAUCUCUUCCUCCUUCACCAUUGAGCUUGGAGAAGAAGUCUUGGCUCGAGGCAAAGACUUAGCCGAGGAGUAGCUUGCGAGGAAGAUAAAUUGCCGAUCCUGUGAGUGGAAUUAUUUAGCAUAGCUUUAUUAGAAGAAUGCCAAUAGCUAUAUAUAUAUAUA